Molecule: ribosomal RNA, 449 nt
Filed under: uncultured bacterium
Lineage: Bacteria
Description: bacterial SSU rRNA
Rfam family: Bacterial small subunit ribosomal RNA
Source: RNAcentral
AACGGCAGCACGGGAGCAAUCCUGGUGGCGAGUGGCGAACGGGUGAGUAAUAUAUCGGAACGUGCCCAGUCGGUGGGGGAUAACGUAGCGAAAGUUACGCUAAUACCGCAUACGAUCUAAGGAUGAAAGCGGGGGACUCGCAAGAGCCUCGCGCGAUUGGAGCGGCCGAUAUCAGAUUAGGUAGUUGGUGGGGUAAAGGCUCACCAAGCCAACGAUCUGUAGCUGGUCUGAGAGGACGACCAGCCACACUGGAACUGAGACACGGUCCAGACUCCUACGGGAGGCAGCAGUGGGGAAUUUUGGACAAUGGACGCAAGUCUGAUCCAGCCAUUCCGCGUGCAGGAUGAAGGCCCUCGGGUUGUAAACUGCUUUGUACGGAACGAAAAAGUUUCUAUUAAUACUAGGAGCUCAUGACGGUACCGUAAGAAUAAGCACCGGCUAACUACGUG